ACUCAGACGAAGAGUCUUAAAUAGGGCGAAACGCGCGUACUGGAU
This is a non-coding RNA of Schistosoma haematobium, 45 nucleotides long. Lineage: Eukaryota; Metazoa; Platyhelminthes; Trematoda; Strigeidida; Schistosomatidae. The record is from Rfam.